Rhipicephalus sanguineus (brown dog tick) is the source of this 754-nucleotide long non-coding RNA. RefSeq lists it as uncharacterized. Lineage: Eukaryota; Metazoa; Arthropoda; Arachnida; Ixodida; Ixodidae. The transcript is spliced from 3 exons. The record is from RefSeq and is a predicted model, not a curated record.
UGCGGCAUUUUAGAGAAGCGUCGUGGCUUCUUACGUUCUAAUAAUGUAAGAAUUCUACAGCGGUUCCACCACCACCAUAUUCCUCCAUAAAUAAAGUAACGAAUUCCAAUUAUUGAAGCGUGUAACAAAUAGAUAUACAAUCUCUUCCAUUGCAGUAGCCGCGUGAUUACACGGCGUGUUCAGCGCCCUGGAGUGGUAAGAGUCGGGAAUAAGACUUAACUUGGAACACUCCAGUAACCUGCGAAAUGCAGAUGACAUUGACUUGCUCAAGAGACACGGGCUGCUAUCGCGUCCCCUGUUGUAAAAGAAAUUAAGACCGUGGACCAAAGGUUCAUGUGUAUUCAUUUACGAGGGAGGUUGACCGGAAGGAUAAGUGGCUGCGAGCAAUUCGAAUGAAGGAUUUCACUCCAGGCGUCCAUUUGAAGGUAUGCGAGCUUCCCUUCCGGACAAGUGACUUCGUCAACACGUUGACACACUGCGACGAGAGCACAGGAAGAAGACUCGAAGUUAUAAGUGACAGAGUUCGCCUGAGGGAAUAUGCUGUGCCCACAGUUUUCCCCAACUCUCCGAAACUGCGACGCGCUCAGUAGGGAAUGCAGCGAUGAACACAAGGUUGAAAAAUUUUUGCAAAGUGAAAAAUGAUGCAGUGCAGUAUGACGCCAAGAAAAAGAAAAAGCUGCCAUGCGCAAAGCAAAUACAUUAAAAAAGAAGUGAAGUGUGCGUGGCGUAGCGACAUUUUUAUUAAAGAGAAUUA